ACACGUGGGUAACCUGCCUUAUAGUGGGGGAUAGCCUUUCGAAAGGAAGAUUAAUACCGCAUAAGAUUGUAGUAUCGCAUGAUAUAGCAAUUAAAGGAGCAAUCCGCUAUAAGAUGGACCCGCGUCGCAUUAGCUAGUUGGUGAGGUAAUGGCUCACCAAGGCGACGAUGCGUAGCCGACCUGAGUGGGUGAUCGGCCACAUUGGGACUGAGACACGGCCCAGACUCCUACGGGAGGCAGCAUG
This 244-nucleotide ribosomal RNA is filed under the name uncultured bacterium. RNAcentral describes it as "partial 16S ribosomal RNA". It matches the Rfam family "Bacterial small subunit ribosomal RNA", at positions 113 to 353 of the family's 1533-position model. The record is from RNAcentral.